This 888-nucleotide ribosomal RNA is filed under the name Escherichia coli. RNAcentral describes it as "partial 23S ribosomal RNA". It matches the Rfam family "Bacterial large subunit ribosomal RNA", at positions 296 to 1191 of the family's 2925-position model. Lineage: Bacteria; Pseudomonadati; Pseudomonadota; Gammaproteobacteria; Enterobacterales; Enterobacteriaceae. The record is from RNAcentral.
AGCAGCCCAGAGCCUGAAUCAGUAUGUGUGUUAGUGGAAGCGUCUGGAAAGGCGCGCGAUACAGGGUGACAGCCCCGUACACAAAAAUGCACAUAUUGUGAGCUCGAUGAGUAGGGCGGGACACGUGGUAUCCUGUCUGAAUAUGGGGGGACCAUCCUCCAAGGCUAAAUACUCCUGACUGACCGAUAGUGAACCAGUACCGUGAGGGAAAGGCGAAAAGAACCCCGGCGAGGGGAGUGAAAAAGAACCUGAAACCGUGUACGUACAAGCAGUGGGAGCACGCUUAGGCGUGUGACUGCGUACCUUUUGUAUAAUGGGUCAGCGACUUAUAUUCUGUAGCAAGGUUAACCGAAUAGGGGAGCCGAAGGGAAACCGAGUCUUAACUGGGCGUUAAGUUGCAGGGUAUAGACCCGAAACCCGGUGAUCUAGCCAUGGGCAGGUUGAAGGUUGGGUAACACUAACUGGAGGACCGAACCGACUAAUGUUGAAAAAUUAGCGGAUGACUUGUGGCUGGGGGUGAAAGGCCAAUCAAACCGGGAGAUAGCUGGUUCUCCCCGAAAGCUAUUUAGGUAGCGCCUCGUGAAUUCAUCUCCGGGGGUAGAGCACUGUUUCGGCAAGGGGGUCAUCCCGACUUACCAACCCGAUGCAAACUGCGAAUACCGGAGAAUGUUAUCACGGGAGACACACGGCGGGUGCUAACGUCCGUCGUGAAGAGGGAAACAACCCAGACCGCCAGCUAAGGUCCCAAAGUCAUGGUUAAGUGGGAAACGAUGUGGGAAGGCCCAGACAGCCAGGAUGUUGGCUUAGAAGCAGCCAUCAUUUAAAGAAAGCGUAAUAGCUCACUGGUCGAGUCGGCCUGCGCGGAAGAUGUAACGGGGCUAAACCAUG